CAGCGCCACAAGUGGUGAUCACGUUUAUUGGGCCUAAAGCGUCCGUAGCCGGUUUGAUAAAUCUUUUGUGAAAUUGUUAGGCUCAACUUAACAACGUGCAGAAGACACUGUCAAGCUAGGAACCGGGAAGAGUCAGAAGUAUUAUUGGGGUAGCGGUAAAAUGCUAUAAUCCUUUUAAGACUACCGAUGGCGAAGGCAUCUGACUAGAACGGAUUCGACGGUGAGGGACGAAAGCCAGGGGAGCGAACCGGAUUAGAUACCCGAGUAGUCC
This 271-nucleotide ribosomal RNA is filed under the name uncultured archaeon. Its description in RNAcentral is "partial 16S ribosomal RNA". It matches the Rfam family "Archaeal small subunit ribosomal RNA", at positions 477 to 747 of the family's 1478-position model. The record is from RNAcentral.